GCUGCAUGGCUGUCGUCAGCUCGUGUCGUGAGAUGUUCGGUUAAGUCCGGCAACGAGCGCAACCCACAUCCUUAGUUGCCAGCAGUUCGGCUGGGCACUCUAAGGAAACUGCCCGUGAUAAGCGGGAGGAAGGUGUGGAUGACGUCAAGUCCUCAUGGCCCUUACGGGUUGGGCUACACACGUGCUACAAUGGCAUCUACAGUGAGCAGCGAUCCCGCGAGGGCUAGCUAAUCUCCAAAAGAUGUCUCAGUUCGGAUUGUUCUCUGCAACUCGAGAGCAUGAAGGCGGAAUCGCUAGUAAUCGCGGAUCAGCAUGCCGCGGUGAAUACGUUCCCAGGCCUUGUACACACCGCCCGUCACGCCAUGGGAGUUGGUUCUACCCGAAGGUAGUGCGCUAACCCGCAAGGGAGGCAGCUAACCACGGUGGGAUCAGCGACUGGGGUGAAGUCGAAACAAGGUAGCCGUAGGGGAACCUGCGGCUGG
Molecule: ribosomal RNA, 482 nt
Filed under: Paramoeba aestuarina
Lineage: Eukaryota; Discosea; Flabellinia; Dactylopodida; Paramoebidae
Description: partial Bacterial small subunit ribosomal RNA
Rfam family: Bacterial small subunit ribosomal RNA
Source: RNAcentral